RNAcentral lists this ribosomal RNA (468 nucleotides) under uncultured bacterium. RNAcentral describes it as "partial 16S ribosomal RNA". It matches the Rfam family "Bacterial small subunit ribosomal RNA", at positions 28 to 507 of the family's 1533-position model. The record is from RNAcentral.
GACGAACGCUGGCGGCGUGCUUAACACAUGCGAGUCGAACGGAAAGGCCCUGCUUUUGUGGGGUGCUCGAGUGGCGAACGGGUGAGUAACACGUGAGUAACCUGCCCUUGACUUUGGGAUAACUUCAGGAAACUGGGGCUAAUACCGGAUAGGAGCUCCUGCUGCAUGGUGGGGGUUGGAAAGUUUCGGCGGUUGGGGAUGGACUCGCGGCUUAUCAGCUUGUUGGUGGGGUAGUGGCUUACCAAGGCUUUGACGGGUAGCCGGCCUGAGAGGGUGACCGGCCACAUUGGGACUGAGAUACGGCCCAGACUCCUACGGGAGGCAGCGGUGGGGAAUAUUGCACAAUGGGCGGAAGCCUGAUGCAGCAACGCCGCGUGCGGGAUGACGGCCUUCGGGUUGUAAACCGCUUUCGCCUGUGACGAAGCGUGAGUGACGGUAAUGGGUAAAGAAGCACCGGCUAACUACGUG